Molecule: long non-coding RNA, 240 nt
Organism: Nilaparvata lugens (brown planthopper)
Lineage: Eukaryota; Metazoa; Arthropoda; Insecta; Hemiptera; Delphacidae
Exons: 4
Source: RefSeq, a predicted model, not a curated record
AAAUAGUAUGCUAUGCAAUGCAAUGUCGACUGAUUUUAUUUUUAUUCUAUUCUCAACAGGCGCCUAAGAUAUGAGGGCACGUCACGUCACAAGUUUUCUUCUCCUGGCGCCUAAGAUAUGAGGGCACGUCACGUCACAAGUUUUCUUCUCCUGACAUUGGUAGCCUUUCUCCAGGGUGGGUUUUCCAAACCUUUGGAAGGAGGUGAUUAUGGAGGAGUAGGAGAAGGAGGAGGAGGAGGA